UGUUCUGCUUCUAUUUGCUAGUGGUUUUUCACUUUCGCUUUGAAAUAUUCAUCCAGUUCGCUGGAUGGCUGGCUACUUUUGCAGGAAUAUCAACACUUUUCGGGUACGAGAGUGGUUCUUGAUUUUGCUGAAACGCCGUCAAACCUAUUUGAGUGAGAAGAAUGCUGACUCUUUGAUCCAUACUAUUCAUCAGUGAUACUAAGACAAAUGUUUGAUGAACACCCAAUAAUCCUUGCUGAAACGCCGUCAAACCUAUUUGAGUGAGAAGAAUGCUGACUCUUUGAUCCAUACUAUUCAUCAGUGAUAUGAAGACAAAUGUUUGAUGAACACUGCCCAUUGGAUUAUCUGCUGUUUGUUUACCUUUUUGUUUAUGGCACGAAAUGGAUUCUUUUGAUCCUAGUUUGUCUGGUUUAAGCACCACUAGUAUGCAAUGUACAUGCUAUAUACUAUGUUGCUUGGACUCUCCGAAAAUAUCGCCGGGUGCGUGUCGGAUCCUUCAAAAGUGUGCAUUUUUGGAGAAUCCGACACGGGUGCGGCAGCAUUUUGGAGAGUCCACGCAACAUAGGCUAUAUAUUCUAUGUGCAGGGUGAAUGCUUCAUGCGCAUGUUGAUGCUGUCGUAUCAGUUAUUAACUAGAGUACUGGCAAUGU
RNAcentral lists this long non-coding RNA (649 nucleotides) under Nicotiana benthamiana. RNAcentral's name for it is "long non-coding RNA (NBEN_LNC025527)". The record is from RNAcentral. Lineage: Eukaryota; Viridiplantae; Streptophyta; Magnoliopsida; Solanales; Solanaceae.